UGUCCUACGGGGGGCAGCAGUGGGGAAUAUUGGACAAUGGGGGAAACCCUGAUCCAGCGACGCCGCGUGAGUGAAGAAGUAUUUCGGUAUGUAAAGCUCUAUCAGCAGGGAAGAAAGAAAUGACGGUACCUGACUAAGAAGCCCCGGCUAACUACGUGCCAGCAGCCGCGGUAAUACGUAUGGGGCAAGCGUUAUCCGGAUUUACUGGGUGUAAAGGGAGCGUAGGCGGCCUGGCAAGCCUGAUGUGAAAUACCGGGGCCCAACCCCGGGGCUGCAUUGGGAACUGCCAGGCUGGAGUGCCGGAG
RNAcentral lists this ribosomal RNA (305 nucleotides) under uncultured bacterium. RNAcentral's name for it is "bacterial SSU rRNA". It matches the Rfam family "Bacterial small subunit ribosomal RNA", at positions 335 to 654 of the family's 1533-position model. The record is from RNAcentral.